This is an unclassified non-coding RNA of 299 nucleotides. It matches the Rfam family "Metazoan signal recognition particle RNA". From Rfam's summary of the family: The signal recognition particle (SRP) is a universally conserved ribonucleoprotein. The record is from Ensembl.
GCCGGGUGCGGUGGCACGCGCCUGUAAUCCAAGCUACCGGGAGGCUGAGGCUGGCGGAUCGUUUGAGCUCAGGAGCUCUGAGCUGCAGCGGACUAUGUCGAUCGGGUGUCCGCACUAAGUUCGGUAUCGAUAUGGUGCUCCUGGGGGAGCCCGGGACCACCAGGUCGUCUAAGGAGGGGUGCACCGGCCCAGGUCGGAAACGGAGCAGGUCAAAGCCCCCGUGCCGCUCAGUAGUGGGAUCGCGCCUGUGAAUAGACGCUGUAGUGCAGCCUGAGUAAUACAGCGGGACUCAGUCUUUU